Molecule: RNA transcript, 3788 nt
Organism: Mugil cephalus (flathead mullet)
Lineage: Eukaryota; Metazoa; Chordata; Actinopteri; Mugiliformes; Mugilidae
Gene name: NADPH oxidase 4
Exons: 19
Source: RefSeq, a predicted model, not a curated record
ACACUGAAUGUGAAGUGCUUCAACUCUUUUCCCCAAAGCUCACUUCGUAGAUUUACGCAUGAUCUUCGUCACGUCAUAUAAGCCCCACAGUAAUUACACAAAGGAACAUAAACACGGCACGUCUUCAUCUGAAUUUAGCAGCUGCACUUAAAGUUCUAUUUCGGCUUCCCAAUAAGGCACAUACAAUACACAUACUGCCUGAGUAACAGCUGUAUUAAAUACUGUACCAGAAUCUCAUAAAUAAGACAUUAAGUAACAGUUUCGAACCUAAAUCAGGCUUAAAAGGGGUGAAAUCAGCUGUUUCCAUUUUUUGUUUUAAUUAACUGAUUUAUUAGCGACAUCCAGUAUGUGUCUCCCUCUAGCGGCACAGAGGAGCGGACCAAAGAGGUGGUGCGGUCAUGUUUAUUGUUCUCCUGUCUCUUUGCUAGUUUUCUGUAUUUUGCCCCAUGCCAUUUUUAUUUAAGUAUGUUUUCGUUUUAUGCUAACUAUAUAUUCAAGUCUGAAGCACAGAAGGCAGAGGUGCCGUCAGGAGACAGGCAGAGGUGCGGUUGAGUGUCUCAGUGUGAGCACCGCUGAGAGUUGUGGGGGGAUGAAAAGUCAAAACGCGCUCAGAGCAGACAGGAGCGGCGGAACGGAGGAGUGCAGGGAGGACGGAUCAGACACCGGCCGGCGUGAGAACUGCGGCAAUCAGGCACAUAGACAGAGACAGAGCUGCAGGAAAGACGGCUCUUCUCGCUCUCGGCCCCACUGAGGCGCUUAGUGAAAGGUUUUGGCCGCUGCUGAGCCCCUGAAGGCACCAUGGUUGUGUCGCUGCGGAGCUGGGUCGCCAACGAAGGAGGGAAGCACUUUGUCCUGAUGCUGUGGCUGGGAGUCAACACCUGGCUGUUCCUAAACACCUUCCUGCUGUACUUCAAUGGGCGGCAGUAUCACUACCUCUACAAGAUGCUUGGACUGGGGUUGUGCAUCAGCAGGGCGUCUGCAUCUCUGCUGAACCUGAACUGCAGCUUGGUGUUGUUACCCAUGUGUCGCUCCUUGCUCACCUUUGUACGAGGCUCACACGCGGUAUCAAGCAGAAAGACACGUCGGCUGCUGGACAAGAGCAAGACCUUUCAUGUGGCCUGUGGCGUUGCCAUCUGCAUCUUCUCUGUUGUGCACGUGUCGGCCCACCUGGUGAAUGUCGUCAACUUCAGUGUGAGCUACUCAGAUGACUUCCCUGCUCUCAAUUUGGCCCGCUACAGAGGAGAGGACCCCAGUCUGAUCCUUUUAACCACAAUUCCCGGAGUCACUGGUGUGCUGUUGGUCCUCAUCCUCUUCCUGAUGUUCAUGUCCUCCUCCUACUGCGUACGGGUCUCCAACUAUGAGAUCUUUUGGUACACACACAACCUCUUCAUUGUCUUCUAUAUCAUCCUUAUGGUGCACAUGGUUGGUGGAGCUCUGAAGUACCAGACCAACAUAGAGGCCCACCCCCCCGGCUGCCUCCAAGCCAAUCGGAGCAGCACAGAGCAGCAGGUCGAGGAUCUGGAGCAGGGUGAAGAUGAGGAGAGCAGAUGCAGAGAGGACGCUCACUUCCAGCCACACUACCCCCAGACGUGGCUUUGGGUGUCUGGUCCUCUCUGUCUCUACUGUAUGGAGCGCUUUUACCGCUACAUCCGGAGCAGUGAUCCUGUUACCAUAGUGACAGUUAUCAGGCAUCCCUGUAAUGUCAUUGAGUUGCGCAUGCUGAAGAAAAACUUCAAAGCUCGACCCGGACAGUAUAUUGUUCUCAACUGUCCAGGUGUCUCUUCAUUUGAGAACCAUCCUUUCACGCUAACAAUGUGUCCCACAGCGAACAAGGAAACUUUUGGCGUCCAUCUGCGCAUCGUGGGAGACUGGACUGAACGGUUCACAAAGCUGCUACUUCCUCAGCCAAGGCUAGAUGUGGAGAUCCUUCCCAUGGUGCACCAGAGAAGAUAUCCCAAGCUUUACGUUGAUGGUCCAUUUGGAAGUCCAUCACAGGAGGUGUUUAACUACGACGUCAGUCUUUGUGUUGCUGGUGGAAUAGGAGUCACACCGUUCGCCUGCGUGCUGCAUGCUCUGCUUGACGGCUGGACAGGUUUCAGGUUGCAGAGGUUGUAUUUUGUGUGGGUCUGCCGGGAGCUCCAGUCCUUCUAUUGGUUUGCAGAGCUGCUGUGUGCUCUGCAUCACAAGCUUUGGCAGGAAAACAGACCGGACUACUUUAAUCUGAAACUGUAUCUCAGCCACACAGACAGUCUGCAGAGCAUGACCGAAGAGAAGUAUCGGCCGCUCGUAUCAAGGCUGCUGUUCGGCCGACCCAGGUGGAAACCACUUCUGGAUGAGAUAGGAAAAAACAAUGAACAUAAGCGAGUGGGGGUUUUCUGUUGUGGACCGAAGGGCAUCUCCAGGACUCUCCACAGACUGUGUAACUCAGCUCGAUCGUCUGGAACAACAUUUGAAUUCAACAAGGAGUCGUUCAGCUGAUGAACAUCAGAGCUGGUUCUACACAACAAGGUCAACACCAGUGAAAACAACAAAUGUUGCUGAGCUCCAACUGAGGGAUUUUAAAGCUUCAGCAUUUGAAACGAUCACCACGUGAAGACAGUCUGAAGAAACCAACUCCCUGCUUGGAGUCUCCACUCAAGAUGUCUGUUUUCCUCAAGCUGCUGUUUCAUAGUUUCCCUGAUGCACCCCUCUGUGGAGUAAAUUAGUUUUCUCAUGUUGGAGUCUAAUAUGAGAAAAGGGUCUGACUCAACCUGCAAUCCCAGAAACAGACACGAUAAAAUGACAUUACACAGGAAUUAAUUGGCCUUUCAGGAGACCCUGACUGAAACAGCACUCAGGAACGAGACAAGCCUUUUUCAUACAAACAUUUAAGAUGUGGUGGACUGAAAAACACAGAGAGUUGGAAAAUCCAAUCCAGUGCGAUAAAGCAGUGUCAUUUCAUUGUGAGUCAAAUUUAUUUAACCUUUGCUUGAUCGCAGACCGAUACCAAACAAAGUCUACCAACCAAGAGUUUACAGAACCAGCCAUGUGCUCAGUGCUAUAAAUAAGGAUAAACUUCUGUCCAACAUAUCCAUAUUAAAUGAGUAUUAAUAUGAAUCUCCAGCUCACAUAGUCCUAGCUAACCUCGCUUAAACUGUGUGACAAAGUUUGAUUGGCUUAUUUGAUUUGACCGAAUAUUUUAUUAGUUUACAAGACAGUCAGAAGCAUGAGUGAAACCAAAAGUGGACAUAAAAUGCACAUUUGUUACAGUCUUUGUUUUCAUUUUGUUCAUAUUUGUGUGACAAGCUCAAUGAAAACGUACACUACAUUUGCCUCAAAUCAGUAUUUUGAAUUCGUGUUUUUUUAAUUUAUAUCGUUUAAAUUUAUUUUACAUGUGUUAUAUUUCAAACCUCGGCAGGGCAUUGGCAAUGUGUCAGUAUUUUUUAUAUAUAUCUCCACUGAGUAAAUUUACUGAUGAAUAAAUAGGAUACUGGUGAUAUUCCAGUUUAAAACAAUUAGUUUGAAGCUACUUUUUUGUAGUUUUUAAAAAUCUUGUUUUUGUAUUAUGCCAUAACCAUGUCCAGGAAAUGAUAUCUGAUUGAUACAAAUGACAUCAACAUUUCUAAAAUUGUAAUUGUAAUAAGAAAUUUAUGAAAUAAGUCAUAAAUUGUGUGCCUGUUUUCGGGAUUGUGUUCUUUUUCUUUUUUAAGAAAAAGGCUAAUUACGGAGUAAAAUAUUUUCUAUUUAUUUUAUUGUGAUUAGACUGUUUCUGAUUCAAGUAAUAUUUACAUUUUAUAUCAAAUAUAUGA